Molecule: transfer RNA, 77 nt
Filed under: Clostridia bacterium
Lineage: Bacteria; Bacillati; Bacillota; Clostridia
Description: tRNA-Val
Rfam family: tRNA
About the family: Transfer RNA (tRNA) molecules are approximately 80 nucleotides in length.
Source: RNAcentral
GGAGGCAUAGCUCAGUUGGCUAGAGUAUUCGCUUGACGUGCGAAAGGUCCCGGGUUCGAGCCCCCGUGCCUCCACCA